GCCUGUGUGGCAUGGUGGUUUGAGUGCUGGAAUGUGACUCUGGAGACCAGGGUUUGAGUCCCAGCUCAGCCA
This is a non-coding RNA of Phrynosoma platyrhinos (Desert horned lizard), 72 nucleotides long. Lineage: Eukaryota; Metazoa; Chordata; Lepidosauria; Squamata; Phrynosomatidae. The record is from the annotation of a GenBank genome assembly.